AAAGUGUAAAGUGAAUGUGUACUGAAAGAAAAAAAUAACUCUUUUUUUUCUCAUAGCUCACAGUAAAAAUGAACUGGAAUCCGCAGAACCUAGCAUAGCACCUACGACUGAAUUACCAUUGAACACACUGGCUCCCUGGGAAAAAAAGUUUGUUCCUUCUACACCUAAACCAUCUGCCAGACCCAAAAUGCCACGAACUAAACCUGAAAAAGCAAUUCAUUUGGAAAGCAAUACACCUAAAUUUUCUAACACCCUUGAACUGCCAAGGACAACACUAGCACCCAGUAAAACAAAACGAAUUCCUUCCAAGCCUAAAGUCUCUCUCCAUCCAGAAGAACCCAAGACAAAACCGGCAGCAACCAGGAAACCUGUUCCAGUGCCAGUCACUAUUAAGAUUUCUUCUAUUACUGCUACUACUAAGACUCUUGAACAUCCGAAAUCCACAAUGGUUUCAUAUGAACCACAACACAUUCCUUCCAAACCUAAAGCAUCUGCCAGUGCCAUGCCAGAAAUGCCACAUAGUAAACCUGAAUCCAGUGAAAUACAUUUCACACCUUUGAAGCCCAAAUCAUCUACUGAACCUAAAAUGCCUCAAUCUAAACCUGCUCCAACUGAAACACAGUUCAUUCCUUCCAAACCUAACACGUCCCCAGAGCCAGAACUACCACAUCCUAAACCUGCUCCAAAAGAGACACGACGUGUUCCUUUGAAACCUAAAACAUCACCCAAACCUCAUGUGCCACAGACAAAACCUGGUAAAUGAUUUUCUGUGUCCUAUCGAAGUUUAUCUCUAA
Molecule: long non-coding RNA, 794 nt
Organism: Terrapene triunguis (Three-toed box turtle)
Lineage: Eukaryota; Metazoa; Chordata; Testudines; Emydidae
Source: Ensembl